CUGAGAGAGAGAGAGCGAGAUCAAUCGAAACUGAGAUCAUAUUUCGGAAAAAUCAAAUCACAAAAGAUGGACGAAUCUGAAAACAAAAGGAAACUAACCGAAGAAGCAGAAGAGCCUCCUCUAGUGGAAGCUCUCCUUAUGACAGCACGCAACAUCAUCCCCCGCACCGAAUCUCUAGAGAGAGAGAAACUUCAACGCGGAGUGAGAAAGCUAGGGUUUGCUGAAUGGAAUGACGACUGGGAAAUGCAUAUGACUUUUCUGUGAGAGCUAGCUUUGAGCAAGUUACAAGAAUAUGGCAAGUUCGGAAGAUUGUUACACGUGUCUACUUAUGCUUCUUCCGAUUACAUGAAUAAUUUACAAAGCUUCAAAACGCUGCCGUUUUAGUAGCAACCGGCCCAUGUGCCCAAAACCCCAUCUUACGCAGACAUGCUGCUAGGUCACGCGUUCAGAAGCUUCCGGCAACACGUACACAGAAAGACCAAAAGCUUUUCUCAUUUUUUAUUCAUUCCAGUCCAUCAACUUUAACUUCCCCUCUCACUGAGAAAUGUUUUUGAAUGAUAUAAAUUUACAGUUAUCAACCAACUGAUUAACUUAACAACCUAAACCCAGACCAAACAAAAAAUAUAUAUUGAGAAAUGACUCAAAACCAGAUGUAACAAAUUAAAUAAAAUAAAUAUCAAAGGAGUCA
Brassica rapa (field mustard) is the source of this 688-nucleotide long non-coding RNA. RefSeq lists it as uncharacterized. The record is from RefSeq and is a predicted model, not a curated record. NCBI's taxonomy places the organism in Eukaryota, Viridiplantae, Streptophyta, Magnoliopsida, Brassicales, Brassicaceae.